CGUUUUCGUUUAAUAAAUGACGUAGAUAGUAUUUAUGGUUCAGUAGUUUAUUUUAUUUGAAUUCAUAUGGUUUUAUGAAUGUAAUAAAGUUUACGGAGUUUUAUGAAUUAAAAAUAAUUUUCUACCCCUCGUGGUAGCGUGUUUUAAAAGAAAAAGGUUUCCUUAUGGGAAACAAUUUUAAAACGGGAAUUUUCUGGUUUUCCUGGUUCUUAGUAUUUCGAAAUGAGUUUCCGGGUAGGAAACGUUUUAAACUAAUAGAUAUGAACUUAUGAAUACUUGUGAUGAACUGAAUGUGGAUGUGAAUGGUGUAUGAAUAUGUGGAUGUUCAUUUGUUAUUGUUGUAUCUUGUACUUGUACGACACCGUGCAAAUACAGAGGGGACU
This 383-nucleotide long non-coding RNA is filed under the name Ananas comosus (pineapple). Its description in RNAcentral is "long non-coding RNA (ACOM_LNC014943)". Lineage: Eukaryota; Viridiplantae; Streptophyta; Magnoliopsida; Poales; Bromeliaceae. The record is from RNAcentral.